This 871-nucleotide ribosomal RNA is filed under the name uncultured archaeon. RNAcentral's name for it is "bacterial SSU rRNA". It matches the Rfam family "Archaeal small subunit ribosomal RNA", at positions 21 to 903 of the family's 1478-position model. The record is from RNAcentral.
CCUGACUGCUAUCGGAUUGAUACUAAGCCAUGCGAGUCAUUGUAGUAAUACAAGGCAGACGGCUCAGUAACGCGUAGUCAACCUAACCUAUGGACGGGAAUAACCUCGGGAAACUGAGAAUAAUGCCCGAUAGAACAUUAUGCCUGGAAUGGUUUAUGUUCCAAACGAUUUAUCGCCAUAGGAUGGGACUGCGGCCUAUCAGUUUGUUGGUGAGGUAAUGGCCCACCAAGACUAUUACAGGUACGGGCUCUGAGAGGAGUAGCCCGGAGAUGGGUACUGAGACACGGACCCAGGCCCUAUGGGGCGCAGCAGGCGAGAAAACUUUGCAAUGUGCGAAAGCACGACAAGGUUAAUCCGAGUGGUUUCUGCUAAAGGAACCUUUUGUCAGUCCUAAAAACACUAACGAAUAAGGGGUGGGCAAGUUCUGGUGUCAGCCGCCGCGGUAAAACCAGCACCUCAAGUGGUCAGGAUGAUUAUUGGGCCUAAAGCAUCCGUAGCCGGCUCUGUAAGUUUUCGGUUAAAUCUGUACGCUCAACGUACAGGCUGCCGGAAAUACUGCACAGCUAGGGAGUGGGAGAGGUAGACGGUACUCGGUAGGAAGGGGUAAAAUCCUUUGAUCUAUUGAUGACCACCUGUGGCGAAGGCGGUCUACCAGAACACGUCCGACGGUGAGGGAUGAAAGCUGGGGGAGCAAACCGGAUUAGAUACCCGGGUAGUCCCAGCUGUAAACUAUGCAAACUCAGUGAUGCAUUGGCUUAUGGCCAAUGCAGUGCUGCAGGGAAGCCGUUAAGUUUGCCGCCUGGGAAGUACGUACGCAAGUAUGAAACUUAAGGAAUUGGCGGGGGAGCACMCAGGGUGAAKCCUGCGGUUC